Molecule: ribosomal RNA, 2771 nt
Filed under: Triticum aestivum (bread wheat)
Lineage: Eukaryota; Viridiplantae; Streptophyta; Magnoliopsida; Poales; Poaceae
Description: partial small subunit ribosomal RNA
Source: RNAcentral
GAGCGCACGAGCACGAUUCAUCCGGUGCGUCGCGCGGCGGCUUCCAUCUCCGCGGCCGUGCUGACUCUGCCUCCAUGGCGUCCGUCUAUACCGCGCCCCUCGCGCCGCUGCCCGCCACGGCCGCCUCCUUCCCCUCCUCGUCCUCGUCCUCGCGGCAGCUGGACCCCAACCCUAGCCGAUUCCUCGCCGCGCACCGCGGCCAGCGCCUCCUCCGCGUCCGCCGCCUGGCGGGCGCCGCGCCGACCCGCCGCGCCUCCGACGCCGCCUCGGUGUUCCGGUGCGGCGCGCGCAGCUCCGGCGCGGACCCCGGCGGCGAGCCACGCCGAGGCUGGGACGCUCUCUUCCACGAUGCCCUCCAGGGCGCCGUGCGGCGGUGGAGCGAGUACGUCGGGAAUUACUGGCCCUCCGCACACCCCUCGAAGGAGGCGGGUCUCGCGAAGGGAGCGGAGAGUUCUCACGAACUGGAGGAGAGAGGGCAGGGAGUGGAGGAAGACGGUGAGGAGGUGGACGUGGUGCAGGAAGCAGGGAAGUGGAGCUGGGAGAGGUGGAAGCAGCACUUCGCCCUCAUUCAGGAGAGCGAGCGCCUUGUUGAUGAACUGCAGCUACAACUCCGCACUGCUGUGUGUAGAGAAGACUAUAGGAGUGCCCACAAACUGAAGUUAGCUAUUGCUGCUACAUCAAGAAAUGAUACUGUCGGCAGAGCAAUAUCUGAGUUACAUAGGGCCAUAGAAGAGGAGCGCUAUGUGGAUGCAGCUUAUAUUAGAGACCAAGCUGGUGCAGGACUGUUGGGAUGGUGGUCUGGGAUUUCUGGAAGUUUGUCUGAUCCAUAUGGUCUUAUAAUCCGUAUAAGCGCUGAACAUGGUCGAUACGUGGCAAAAAGUUAUGAUAUCAGGCAGCUGGCUUCAGAUGGCCAUGGUUACCCUAUAUUCGAAAUUUAUUUUGCAGAGGCAAAUGGAGGAUACAACCUGCAGGCAGUGCAUCUGAAACCAGAUGUCAGUGAUUCGGACCAGUUGCGAAACAUGUUGAGUGGAAAACUAGAUGUCAACAAUAUAAACAUAUCUAGCAAUUCCUUAGGUGCUAAACACGAGGAACACGAUGAAGGCAUAAACAUGGACGAUCAAAAUAGCGAUGAUAGUGAUGUUGCUGCUGGUCCAGCUGGUUUGAAAAACCUGUCAAAUGAUUCAACUCCAAUUCCCAGGAUCAAAAUAUUGAAGGUAGCGCCUAUGGAAAACAUCAACCAGGACUAUAUAAUUAAAAUAUUUGAUCAGAUUUCAGAGGAAGAUGAUGACAAUGAUGAAGCUGAGAUCGAAAAUGAAUCUUCACAAGAUAUUGGCGAUGAAGAUAACAAUGAAGAAGCAGGAACAAUUUCUGCAGAAGAGAAUAAUGAUGAGUCUGGUGAGGAAAGUGAUAUUGAAGCAUUGUUAUCGAUUGGAAUUGAAGUUGAUAAUGAUAAGGAUUUUGCUUCACAGUCCUCACCUAAAACGUUUGAACGCAUGCCAGCUAAAUUAGACAAGAGAGACCGCUUUUCAUUUACCUUCUAUACUGAACAAUCCAGUAAAAAGCCAGCUGCAGAAAAGGCUCAGCAGAUUCCGAGGAAGCGGGUUGGCUUCCGUACCACUGAGCAGGAUGGUGAUCUCAAGUUUGAUCGUGUAAAGUUGUCUGGGGGCAAUAGGAAACUACCGAUACUACAACUUGGUAUUAAGCAACUUAAUAACAAGGUUCAGCCAAAACUAUAUGGAGUUACCCACUUCAGCCGUAUUCAGAUGCCCAUCUCUUCAGAUCCUCUUAGUGGUCUAUAUGAGACUGCAUCUGGGUUUGACUCAGAAGUUCUUAGUUUACAACGGAAAUUUGGUCAAUGGCAGGAGGAUGAUUCAUCUGAGGAGCACUCGGAUCUUAAGUUUUAUGAGUAUGUCGAAGCUGCAAAAUUGACUGGGGACAAUCUUGUGCCAGCGGGUCAGGUUGUCUUCCGUGCAAAAGUUGGCAAACACUAUCAGCUUCCUCAUAAGGGGGUCAUCCCUAGAGAACUUGGAGUGGUUGCUAGGUAUAAGGGGCAAAGGAGGAUUGCAGAUGCUGGCUUCAAAAAUCCUCGAUGGGUUGACGGCGAGCUUUUGAUACUAGAUGGAAAGUUCAUCAGAGAUGGUCCUGUGAUAGCUUUCUUCUACUGGACAUCAAAUCUCCAUCUUUUUGAAUUCUUUAGGCGGUUGAGUCUUCCUGACUAGUUUCAUUUGAAGAGACGCAGUUCAAGGACAUUCUGCAAUCACACAUGCUGACGUACAGUUGACGGAGGUGAUGUACAUACAAUUGGGCUCUCGCCGAGCAUCACAUUUUCCAUAUACGGGGAUCGUGGCGAAGAUGGCCCCACAGUAUGGUGGAUGAGAGGGUGAAGAAAUUUAUGACCAGAGAAAUAGCUCGAAUAGCCCACUGCCAACUUGAAUGGUGAGCAUUUCUCAUUCCACUUCUCUCAGCUGACCCACCCAAUUUACGAGUUGAGGCCAAAGACUUGCUGCAUUAGAAAGAGCCACCUUAUUUUGACCAGUCGAAUUGAAAUAUGUUAAAAAGAAAGUGAUGAGUGGGUUUUCAUUUUUGUCCUCCUCUUGGCAUUCUUCAUACAGGAACCCUUUUGUGAAAUAUAAGCAACAAUUGUGUGCAGAUUGUCAUGUGGUGUAACUAAGGUCACUAUUAUUGGUUCCAGAAAAGUGGAGCGGAGCAUUAAACUGGUGUAUGUGUAUAAAGUUUGGUGCCCACGUAUUCAAGUAUGUUAACUACGUGCA